This is a small nuclear RNA of Pygocentrus nattereri (red-bellied piranha), 137 nucleotides long. Its record names the gene U2. It matches the Rfam family "U2 spliceosomal RNA". Rfam says of the family: U2 is a small nuclear RNA (snRNA) component of the spliceosome (involved in pre-mRNA splicing). Lineage: Eukaryota; Metazoa; Chordata; Actinopteri; Characiformes; Serrasalmidae. The record is from Ensembl.
AUUUCAAUCCUAUUAGUCACUGAUUACAACAACAUAUUAAAUUGAUUUUUAGAACAGGGAGACGGAAGAGGGGCUUGCUCCGUCCGCUCCACGCAUCGACCUGGUAUUGCAGUACCUCCGGGAAUGGUGCACCUCCU